AGCGAACGCUGGCGGCAGGCUUAACACAUGCAAGUCGAACGCCCCGCAAGGGGAGUGGCAGACGGGUGAGUAACACGUGGGAACGUACCCUUUGGUUCGGAAUAACUUGGGGAAACUCAAGCUAAUACCGGAUAAGCCCUUAUGGGGAAAGGUUUACUGCCGAAGGAUCGGCCCGCGUCUGAUUAGCUAGUUGGUGAGGUAAUGGCUCACCAAGGCGACGAUCAGUAGCUGGUCUGAGAGGAUGAUCAGCCACACUGGGACUGAGACACGGCCCAGACUCCUACGGGAGGCAGCAGUGGGGAAUAUUGGACAAUGGGGGCAACCCUGAUCCAGACAUGCCGCGUGAGUGAAGAAGGUCUUCGGAUUGUAAAGCCCUUUUGCCAGGGACGAUAAUGACGGUACCUGGAGAAUAAGCCCCGGCAAACUUCGUGCCAGCAGCCGCGGUAA
RNAcentral lists this ribosomal RNA (447 nucleotides) under uncultured bacterium. RNAcentral's name for it is "partial 16S ribosomal RNA". It matches the Rfam family "Bacterial small subunit ribosomal RNA", at positions 29 to 523 of the family's 1533-position model. The record is from RNAcentral.